RNAcentral lists this long non-coding RNA (223 nucleotides) under Capsella rubella. RNAcentral describes it as "long non-coding RNA (CRUB_LNC000721)". Lineage: Eukaryota; Viridiplantae; Streptophyta; Magnoliopsida; Brassicales; Brassicaceae. The record is from RNAcentral.
UAAAACCUCUAUAAAUUAAUAAUGUUGGGACCAUGAAAAUCUAUUAAUUUAUAGAGUUUUUAAUUUAUCAAUAAAUUAAUAAUUCUUAAUUUAUAGAAAGAUUUUCCUAAUUUGGAAAGUUUUUCAAAAAAAAUUAAAAAAAUAAACUCUAAUAAAAACUAAUGUGUCUAUAUAUAGAUAUAUUUUGAAAAUUUUACCUAAUUAUUAAUUUAUAAUAUUGACG